Molecule: ribosomal RNA, 445 nt
Filed under: uncultured Sphingomonadaceae bacterium
Lineage: Bacteria; Pseudomonadati; Pseudomonadota; Alphaproteobacteria; Sphingomonadales; Sphingomonadaceae
Description: bacterial SSU rRNA
Rfam family: Bacterial small subunit ribosomal RNA
Source: RNAcentral
UGCCUACGGGGGGCAGCAGUGGGGAAUAUUGGACAAUGGGCGCAAGCCUGAUCCAGCAAUUCCGCGUGAGCGAAGAAGGCCUUCGGGUUGUAAAGCUCUUUCGGCGGGGACGAUAAUGACGGUACCCGCAGAAGAAGCCCCGGCUAACUCCGUGCCAGCAGCCGCGGUAAUACGGAGGGGGCUAGCGUUGUUCGGAAUCACUGGGCGUAAAGCGCACGUAGGCGGCUACUCCAGUCAGAGGGGAAAGCCCGGGGCUCAACUCCGGAAUUGCCUUUGAAACUAGGUAGCUUGAACGUCGGAGAGGUAAGUGGAAUUCCGAGUGUAGAGGUGAAAUUCGUAGAUAUUCGGAAGAACACCAGUGGCGAAGGCGACUUACUGGACGACUGUUGACGCUGAGGUGCGAAAGCGUGGGGAGCAAACAGGAUUAGAUACCCCGGUAGUCUCU